UACCAGCACCCCGAGUGGUCGGGACGUUUUAUUGGGCCUAAAGCAUCCGUAGCCGGUUCUACAAGUCUUCCGUUAAAUCCAGCUGCUUAACAGAUGGGCUGCGGAAGAUACUAUGGAGCUAGGAGGCGGGAGAGGCAAGCGGUACUCGAUGGGUAGGGUAAAAUCCGUUGAUCCAUUGAAGACCACCAGUGGCGAAGGCGGCUUGCCAGAACGCGCUCGACGGUGAGGGAUGAAAGCUGGGGGAGCAAACCAGG
RNAcentral lists this ribosomal RNA (254 nucleotides) under uncultured bacterium. Its description in RNAcentral is "partial 16S ribosomal RNA". It matches the Rfam family "Archaeal small subunit ribosomal RNA", at positions 474 to 728 of the family's 1478-position model. The record is from RNAcentral.